Molecule: long non-coding RNA, 1842 nt
Organism: Scleropages formosus (Asian bonytongue)
Lineage: Eukaryota; Metazoa; Chordata; Actinopteri; Osteoglossiformes; Osteoglossidae
Exons: 5
Source: RefSeq, a predicted model, not a curated record
CGGGCGAUCGGGCGGAAUCCAUCGCUCCAGGUGUCCAGCAGCUGAGAACGGACCGCGACCCAGUCAGCACGUGUGUCUGCUGUCGGGUUCGCGACUGUGUCCUUGCCGUGCUGCAACGUCCCUCGCCUGUGCUCCGGAAACCCGGUGUCACCCUUGGUCACUUCCCCUCUGCUGCGGUGGACAUACCGCUCAUACGCUGGGAGAGCCAAAGGGGACCAUCCGGAGCUUGGCCGACUCUCCCUUUCACAGCAACGUCCGGGACGAGACCCCGGAGCGGUCUGGCGUCCUCUCAAGAGCGCCAGGCUUCCCAAAUCCACCCCCCACAGAGCGCCCUGACGCCAUACGACACCCGAGUCUGGAUUACAGUCUCCAUUUUCAGCACUGGGCCUCAAAGUGCUCCCCCCUCUCCGGCAUCGCGGCCCCCGGGCUUUGAUCCCAUCCAGCACCGGUGCAGUAGGCCCAGAGUGGUGCUGACAGCUGGCCGACCAUAACGUCACUGCACUCGCCUUCUGCAACAUGUCCAGUGUUGUCACAGAAUCUCCACGGAAACCAGCUAAACAGGUGGAAGUAUGCAGAGUUCGGCCAGUGCGGAGAGGAUGUUAUAUAAAGCUGUCAGGCACAGCGCAUGGGGGCUGGAUGACGAGUGGCCAGUCGCUGAAGGGCUGUCCAGCGACUGGUUCAAACCUGCAGCCGGGUGUUGGGGGAAACGGCACCAACCUGGAAAGAUUCCCCCCUUCGCUGCAACUGAUACCUGGGUUCUGAAACCAUGGUUCCCAGAGCACCGAUGGAAAGGAAACUUCAAGCACCAAAAGGCUACGUUCUGGUUGAGUGGUUCUGUGAACGCUUUACGCUCUGGCUGUGAACUCGGGAUGAGUGGCUUGUUUUGGCAGGUGACACUUUGAUAUGCAACACACCUGGUGCGAAGGAGCUGACGGACGGCCUCUCCCGUCACCGCCCGCACAUCCCCCCAGACUGCGGCGCUAACUGGGCGCCCUGCAGUCAGUGGGGUUGCGAAUGUAGUCCGCCUACAGCGAUGACAUCACGAGGGGACGUGGGCGGGGGGGAUUGCUGAUCGGUUCUUUCAUAGCCCACAUUCGGGUUUGCCCCACAAUGGCUGGCAUGCUGAGCAACGGGCCGAGCAGCUGCGUGGAGACACCUCAAGCUGUGCUGGGCAUAUUCUCAAGGAAAUCUGCGUGUGAAAAGAGUGACGCACACACAGAAGACACAUGCGCAAUUUCAGAGGACGCCAGCCUCUCUAACCCAUGAAUAAAAGCAUCUGCCGCGACAAUAAGCACAACUGCGGAGCUAACCAGUUUGGAUGAAAAAAAACACACUUUCUACAGCGGAGCACAAAGUAAAACAAUAUACACACACACACACACACACACACGCUGGAUUGCAUCCUCUUUUUUGGUGUAUUUACGACGGAGAAACUGUUCCGUCCUGAACCCGUCUUGCGGUUCUGCAGUUUCUCCUCCGCUGAAUUUGCCCUCGGUUGAAUCCAUUUCAUUAGUCGUUUUUUUUUUCCGCUCAUUUUGAAAUAAAUGUUUUUUCUAAGGUUGCUCUUGUGAGAAAAGAUUGUUCAUCCAGGUGCUAUCUAAAUAUUCAAACGUUUUUUACCCGUUUUGAGCAUCUGUGUGCCCAUUGCAGGGUUGCAGUUGACUUGAGCCGAAGGUGUAAGGCAGGGUAAACCUGGACGGGACGCCAGUCCAUCACAGAGCAGUAAAACACACUGAUUUAUUCGCACACAUGCACGCAUUACGGGCAACCUGGAGUCUGUUGGAGUCCAGCCGAAACGUGUCUUUGGACUGAGGGACGAAACCUACGGGAAGAACACGCAAA